RNAcentral lists this ribosomal RNA (446 nucleotides) under uncultured bacterium. RNAcentral describes it as "partial 16S ribosomal RNA". It matches the Rfam family "Bacterial small subunit ribosomal RNA", at positions 338 to 795 of the family's 1533-position model. The record is from RNAcentral.
CCUACGGGAGGCAGCAGUCGAGAAUCAUUCACAAUGGGGGAAACCCUGAUGGUGCGACGCCGCGUGGGGGAAUGAAGGUCUUCGGAUUGUAAACCCCUGUCAUGUGGGAGCAAAUUAAAAAGAUAGUACCACAAGAGGAAGAGACGGCUAAAUCUGUGCCAGCAGCCGCGGUAAUACAGAGGUCUCAAGCGUUGUUCGGAAUCACUGGGCGUAAAGCGUGCGUAGGCUGUUUCGUAAGUCGUGUGUGAAAGGUGCGGGCUCAACCCGCGGACGGCACAUGAUACUGCGAGACUAGAGUAAUGGAGGGGGAACCGGAAUUCUCGGUGUAGCAGUGAAAUGCGUAGAUAUCGAGAGGAACACUCGUGGCGAAGGCGGGUUCCUGGACAUUAACUGACGCUGAGGCACGAAGGCCAGGGGAGCGAAAGGGAUUAGAUACCCGUGUAGUC